AGUAAAGAUUAAAUGUGCUUUCUCAAAGGCAGCCACUUCAUGCUGCUAUGUCGAAAGGGCUAUUAUUAUUAUUAAUAUGAGAGAGAGAGAGGGAGAGAGAGAGGGAGAGAGAGAGACUAGGUAUGGUGAUGACGGUCUGGCUUUUCGGAGAGCAAAAGGGAGAGAAAAAAGGAGAGACCAUGAGCUGAACCAAGGACUGUGUAUGAGCUGAACCUACAGAGGAAAGCGCCGCUUCCAGGCAGAGGAGGUUCGAGAAAGCGACUCUAUCAGGUACAGCACUAGUAGCUGUCUGUGAAGAUGGAGGGGGAUUACGCCUCGGAUUCUUCUGAAAUAUUGGCCAAAGGCUUCAAAGGAUCCGCAGCGGGAGGCGAGGGUGGGGGAGCAUCUCCCCAGCUCGCACCCACCCCUUCCCACUUUGCGUCUACCAAAUGACAGGCUGGUGCUCGCUCUGGGUGAUUUUGGCCUUGGCCUCAGCCAAGCAGCUGAUGCAGAGGAGGGCCAGCUUUGCAAGACUGACAGAACUCUGAAUGCUAGAGAAAGAAGAAGAAAAAGAAAAAGAAUUUUUUUUUUCCGAGCAGUCCUUGGGAGAUUUUCUCGUUCUCUCUCGAUUUAUUUAUUUAUUUCUAUUUUUUUUAACCGACUAUUUUCCAAAUUCGAUCAGCCCCAGCCCCUCCCUCCACUCCCACCCAACAGCCUUCCCCCCACCCCCCACCCCCGGUCAAAGCAUAAACCACAGAGUUACGGUCUUCUUUGGAUUUUGGAGUAUCGCUUCCUGCCCCCGCCUUCCCUCCCCGCCCCAUUCUCUGUCCUAUUGAACACCUCGCCCAGCCUAGAGCUCACAUUCUCCCCCUGCUCCCGAUGGCGCUCCUGGAAGCUCUGCAACUAUGCUCCACUUCAAAUGGACCCAUAACUGGUGUUACACCCCCACUCCCUGCCACCACAAAUACUGAGUCCAUUCCAGGAAUAGAAACCGCCGAAGGAUUACAUUCUCCACGGAGAACGAUCUCUAUGAAGGUGUGCAAUGUCUGUGAAAUACGGUGCCAACAAAAGAAUUCCAAACUGUGGCAGUCUUUUCAUGAGAUAAUCACAUAUAAAAUCAGGAUUGUUUCUUUUACAAAUGGGAGUCUACGACGAAUCCAUUGUUCUUCAAAGGCAGGAAAGGGCUCUUACUUAUUAUUGGGCUAGUCCUCAUUACGGCCACCUGAAUGAAUCCAAAGUACUUCCAAAAAUAAAUGGUUUCAUGACUUUUGUAUGUUUAAACACCUAGGCUUUUGUUUAUUUUUUCAAGUCUGAUAUUUUCCACCUCAUUAUUCACCUCUUAAAACGUCUGUAUCCGGCUGGGCCAUUUUAAACAAGUUUGCUGAUGGCUUGCUUUGCCCUCCUGGAAUUGUUUGGUUUCCUUGUUAAGGUGAAGAAUGUUGUAAAAGGGGCAGUCUCCUAAGUUGUGACCUCAAAGGGUGGUGUCUGAAUCUCUCCUCUUUUGUGUCUGAUCAGGAAGAAGAUGGACAAUGUCUAUACGCCAUCUUCAGUUGGUAACGCUGUGGCAGUUAGCAUAACCAGUGCUAGGCAAGAUUCAACCGCACUGGCUGCGGUAUGCGUGGCCAACCGGAGUGAGGACAAAUCCCAUUCCGUCUGAAGACUGUCUCCUGCCAGAGAUCAAAUGCAGCUCGCACAUACAUGACACCAAGCAGAAGCAAGUACUAUUCCAUUACAAAUGAAGCAGAGAGAGCCAGAAUUAUUUGGUCAGCUUGGUAUUCAAAAUGGUUGAGAUUCUGACCUUCCCACUCCUUCCUUAAUUAUCUUGAUAAUUUUGGCAAGAGGAGGUUUGUGGGGUGGAGAGGGAUAAUUCUGAAAGAAUUAAAUAAUUAUAGCAGUCAGGAAAUCCAUCCAGGGUUUUAUAAAUUCCUGCAUAAUAGUUCAAAAUCUCUUGAUUUUUCAUCGUGUAUAAGCUAAAUUCAUUAGCACAUACCUUAGAUCAUCUGUUAGAUGCCUAGCAGUGUAAAAACACAGGGCCUGUGAAGUGUUUUUUUUGGUUUUGUUUUGUUUUUAAUCUUGACUUUUACAGAAUAAAAACUACCACCACCAACAACAACAAGAGAACAGACAUGUUGCAUUUAAAAUUGUACCUAUUUCUUUCUGGCUCUCAGCUUUUCUUUUAAUGCCGCAGUAAUACCACUGUUCAUUUCCUGUUCAACUUCAAACCUACCUUUUGAUUCUUCCAAUGUCCCUUAGGCUAAUGUUUUCACAAAGAAUGAAAUGAACAGACAGAAACAAUUAAGUGAGCAGAUACAGUGAAAAGGAACACCGGCUGCCGCUUUCACACGACUGGAAGUGUAGGAAUGAAUUCUGCUUGGAAUCUGAUCCUCCAGCCACAGGGCUUUUGCUGCUCACAUCAUUUUUCUUCUGCAAACCCCCCUCAGCCCCCAGUGUACUGCACGCCACUUUUCCUUUAUGGAAGGAAAAGAUCGAGGCACACAAAGAAAGGCCCAAAUACUCACAGGCACGGGAAAUAUUUUCUCUGCCUGUUACUAGGACCGGAUAAGCUCCAAGAAAGAAAAUCCACCUAGAUAUUUUAAACUGGGGAAUGUCUCCCCAAAGCCUGGUAAAUGUUCACAUGUGUCUUCAUGAAAUUUGUAAUAUGGAUUGUUUACACAGCCCUGAUUGAGGGCAUGAGCACCAUUAAAAAGGAUCAAGUCGGUUUAGGGAUGGAAAAUUGUAGAAACCAGAGCUGUUAUCCACAAGGAGAAGUGUAGGUUUUGGUUUCUUUGAAACAAUAAUACGCAGGACUUGAUAUUAAAAGGUAUUUCAACAGCCAAGAGUAAGCUGUUGGUGACCCUUCGAAGUUCUAUAAGGAAUCAACAAGGUGGUAAGUCACUCUCCUCAAACAGGUCUGAAGGCAAGUGUUGAUGACAUGGCUGGGGCUCUAUGACAUCUCCUUCUCUCUCUUUCCAGUAGCACACUAAGAGAUUUUCCAUGGCGGGAGCUCGGCACUCCUGGAGUGGGGUUUACUUUGUUCAGGCGUUGUGUUGGUAUUUGAGGAGACUGGCUACAACUCCACAAGGCGGUUGCUGAGGAUGGAGCCUCUGUGUAUCUCAGAAGACUGCAGUUCUUACUGCUAGGAGACUGCAUGGCUAGUUCCCUCUGAGUUAAGCUUCUAUUUUUGAAGCCCAGAUGCAAUAAGGAGGUGCCUAUGAUAGACACAGAAUACAAACCCCACACAGCUUAAAGCUGGCAGAUGUCUUCUGCAAAACGAUGCCACACCUUGACCCUGAAUGAGGAAGAAGGCAGGGAUCCAUAGGAUUAUCCGGAGUGGAAAACAUGGCUUCCACUUCUAAUUUGUUUUUUAAAAACGGAAUCAUACCUAUGAAUUUCUUAAUAAAAUAUCUUUCUUGUAAAAUGUA
This 3401-nucleotide long non-coding RNA is filed under the name Mus musculus (house mouse). Its description in RNAcentral is "Mir100 Mirlet7a-2 Mir125b-1 cluster host gene". Lineage: Eukaryota; Metazoa; Chordata; Mammalia; Rodentia; Muridae. The record is from RNAcentral.